UACAGAGAGUGCAAGCGUUAAUCGGAAUCACUGGGCGUAAAGCGCACGUAGGUGGAUAUCUAAGUCGGAUGUGAAAGCCCCGGGCUUAACCUGGGAACUGCAUUCGAUACUGGGUAUCUAGAGUAUGGUAGAGGGAAGUGGAAUUUCCGGUGUAGCGGUGAAAUGCGUAGAUAUCGGAAAGAACAUCAGUGGCGAAGGCGGCUUCCUGGACUGAUACUGACACUGAGGUGCGAAAGCGUGGGGAGCAAACAGG
Molecule: ribosomal RNA, 253 nt
Filed under: uncultured bacterium
Lineage: Bacteria
Description: partial 16S ribosomal RNA
Rfam family: Bacterial small subunit ribosomal RNA
Source: RNAcentral